GUCUCCUUAGUUCAACGGAUAGAAUAAGGGCCUCCUAAGCUCUAGAUACAGGUUCGAUUCCUGUAGGGGACACCA
RNAcentral lists this transfer RNA (75 nucleotides) under Clostridiaceae bacterium. RNAcentral's name for it is "tRNA-Arg". It matches the Rfam family "tRNA". From Rfam's summary of the family: Transfer RNA (tRNA) molecules are approximately 80 nucleotides in length. Their secondary structure includes four short double-helical elements and three loops (D, anti-codon, and T loops). RNAcentral also lists the same sequence under 1 other name. The record is from RNAcentral. Lineage: Bacteria; Bacillati; Bacillota; Clostridia; Eubacteriales; Clostridiaceae.